AAAAAGACAAACCCUGGUUUCCGUGCCCAACAUUUGACUGUCCGUCUUAUUUGAAAAAAUUAUGAAAAAAAUUAAAAAGACAAGUCACGCAUAAAAUAUUAAUUAUAUUUUAUUAUGUAACAACAAUAAAAAUACGAAUUAUAAAAAAAUUUCAUAUAAGACGGACAGUCAAAGUUGGACACGGAAACUCAGGGUUUGUCUUUUU
This 205-nucleotide microRNA precursor is filed under the name Oryza rufipogon (brownbeard rice). RNAcentral's name for it is "MIR812 microRNA precursor family". It matches the Rfam family "MIR812 microRNA precursor family". The record is from Rfam by way of RNAcentral. Lineage: Eukaryota; Viridiplantae; Streptophyta; Magnoliopsida; Poales; Poaceae.